GCCGGGGUGGCGGAAACGGCAGACGCGGCGGACUCAAACUCCGCUGGCCCUCAAGGCCGUGCGGGUUCGACUCCCGCCCCCGGCACCA
Molecule: transfer RNA, 88 nt
Filed under: Bacillota bacterium
Lineage: Bacteria; Bacillati; Bacillota
Description: Firmicutes bacterium (sediment metagenome) tRNA-Leu
Rfam family: tRNA
About the family: Transfer RNA (tRNA) molecules are approximately 80 nucleotides in length. Their secondary structure includes four short double-helical elements and three loops (D, anti-codon, and T loops).
Source: RNAcentral